Molecule: non-coding RNA, 1029 nt
Organism: Clupea harengus (Atlantic herring)
Lineage: Eukaryota; Metazoa; Chordata; Actinopteri; Clupeiformes; Clupeidae
Source: the annotation of a RefSeq genome assembly
AUGUUGUUAACUAGGUAGACCAAGGGUACAGUUGAUCACGCCUUGUGUUAUGGCUUGUAUAUUGUUUUAUCAAUAGACCUGUCUGGUGAGACCAUACUCAAUUUGUCUUUCCCUGCCCACCGUGUCAAAACCGGAGUGCAGUACAGUCGCUGUCCGCGGUGCUGAAACCCAUUUAGACGUUCGACGUUCUAGGCAAACAGUGUGCCUACCCUCUGGUUGAUUUGAAGCAUAGGAGAGCAUUUGUGAAUCUAAAAGAACGUAUAGACAACUUUCAACCUUCUGGUUACAGCUUUUAUAAUGUUUUUAGAGAACAAAAGAAAAAGCUUUAAGCAACGUACAGUAUAAGAUACAUUUUUGAGCAACCACUAAAUGCACUUGGAUAUGCUGGCCUGUGAGUGUCAAGACGCAAAUCAUUGUAGCGUGAGGAGGUUUUUGUACGGGCUCUGAAUGACUUUGUACCAAUGUGGUAUACUUUUGGUAGCGGCACGAAACUUGAAGUUGGAAGCAACACCAGUCCCAAAGUGACAGUCCUGCCCCCCUCCAGCAUAGAGCUCUCCAGCAAUAGUUCUGCCACACUGGUGUGUCUGGCCAACGGAGGCUUCCCCUCAGAUUGGACUCUCAGCUGGAAGGUGGAUGGGAUCAGCAGGACUGGUAUGUCCAGUCGCUGGGCUCCUGAGAAGGAUGGUCUGUACAGCUGGAGCAGCACCCUGACCCUCCCUUCCCAGGAGUGGACCAAGGGGGUCUCAGUGACCUGUGAGGCCAACCAGGGCUCCCAGUCUCCAGUCACCAAGGUUAUCAAGGGAGGCGAAUGCUCCGAGUAGCAUGAUUCCAGUCUCUGCAGUCUGUGUCUGAUCUGAGUGUCUUAUUUUGAUAUUGCUUACAGUAGGGAAGAGUAAUUGUUGUCAUAUAGCCACAGGCUUUUACUACUGUUUUUUUUUUACUGUUCCUGCCUAAUGUAACCCAUUCAUAUUCUUGAGUUACUAUUGCAGAAUAUAAUGUGAAAAAAUAAACGCUUUUUGCUGAACCAUA